GGUGGAGUAGUUUAAAAAAAACAUAAAUUUUGUAAAUUUAAGAUGGCCACCUUAACCC
This 58-nucleotide transfer RNA is filed under the name Ergasilus tumidus. RNAcentral describes it as "tRNA-Thr". The record is from RNAcentral. Lineage: Eukaryota; Metazoa; Arthropoda; Copepoda; Poecilostomatoida; Ergasilidae.